UAAAAUGUGUUUGUGUUUUACAUGAAGUGCUAUUACAAAAGAAUAAAAAAGUUUUUUAAAAUUAAAAAGCUUAUAUAGUACAAAAGUUACAGUUAAUACUGUCUUCUGGAAUUUCUUCUGAAGGACCUGCCUGAGGCUGUUUACAUUUAAUUUUUUAUGUGUAAAAGUAAAAGGAGUACAUUCUAAGUGUACAGUAAUGUCCUAGGCCUUCACAUUCACUUGCCACUCACUCACUCACUUACCCAGAGAGACUUUCAGUCCUGCAAGCUCGAUUCACCAUAAAUACCCUAUAUGAGCAUUCAAUUUUUUAUCUUUUAUACAGUAUUUUUACUGUACCUUUUCAUUUAGAUACACAAAUACUUACCAUUGUGUUACAACUGCCUAUAGUAUUCAAUACAGUAACAGGCUUUACAGGUUUGUAGCCUAGGAGCAAUAAGCUAUACCAUAUAGCCGAGGUAUGUAGUAAGCUGCACCCUAGAUGGUAUCAUUAGGUUUGUUUAGCUACAUACUAUGAUGUCUGCACAACAACAAAAUCACGUAAUGACACAUUUGUCAUAAUGUGUUCCUAUCAUUAAGCAAUACAUGACUGUAUGUGGGUACUAUUACUGUUUUCUAAAAAGCAUCUAAGCAAGCAUUUAAAAAAAUAAAAAUACAGUUUACAAAAUUAACUUAGAGUAACAAAGUUAGCACUUUUCACUGGCAAUCAAACAGAAAUAUAAAAGUUAGCAACAAAUCUGACAAUUAAAUUCCCUAUGCCAAGCCCAUACGUGGUAGGUAGAUUGGCCCCGAAGAGAUGACCUAAUCUCUGGCAACUGUGCAUGUGUUACCAUACAUGGCAAAAGAGACUGCAGAUGUAACUAAAGUUAAAUCCUUAAAAUAGGAAAAUUAUCCUGGAUUAACUGAGUGGACCCAAUCUAAUCAUGAGAACACUUAAAAGCAGAGAAAUGUUUCCAGCUGUAGUCAGAGAAAUGCAGCAUAAGGAUAAAUAAGAGAGAUUCAAAGUAUGAGAGGAACUUGACUCACCACUGCUGGAGGAGCCACAUGGAAAGCAUGAGAAAGAAUUCAGAAAGCAUCUAGGAGCAAAGACUCAUCCCCCAUCUGGCAGCAAGGAAACAGGGACUUCAGUCCUUCAAGUGCAUGUAACCAAAUUCUACCAGUUGGAACCUGGGUGAGCCUGGGAAUGAAUCCUCCCCUAGAGUCUUCAGAGCCCACUGCAACUGACACUUAGAUUUUGGUCUCAUGAGACAAGGUUUAGAAAAACCAGCUGAGCCCAGCUAGACUUCAGACCUAUACAUCUGUGAGAUAAUAACGUGUUGUUUUAAGCCACAGAAUUUGUGGUAGUUUGUUAUAGCAGCAAUAGAAAACUACAUGUAUUAGCAUUUUCUUAAUUUAUAUUUCAUUCUAAAUAUCUUUAAUUUGUCAAGGUGGAUUAAAAAAUGAGAGGCUAUAUUACCACAUUUCUAGCUUUUCAUUUCCUCACAUUAAUUUUGUCACUAAAAUGGAAACAUAAUGCUUGACUAGAUUCUGACCAUUGAAAAAUACCAAUUUUUAAUUCAUGUUAGUCUUUUACUUUUAAAAAUGUUUUUUAAAAGCCAUUUUCUCUUGGAAUAUUUUACAUGAAAAGUAUGACUCAAGUGAGGGUCUAUCUAUGCAAAGUAGAACUGAGUGUUUCCGACAUACGUAUACAUUACAUCUAUUACCAGCUGGUGCUCACAGGGUUUUGCGGGAAGGGGACAGUGUUAGAAUGCUACAUGAGUUCAUUUCUUUUAUAUAUUCAUAUUAAGUGUAUCUCCAUCUGCUGAAGUACUUCCAUUGGCAUGGAUGAAAAUGUCAGUUGAGUGAAUUCCAGGCAAUUCUCCAAGUUAUCUCAUCAUCCUCAGAAAGCAAAUUCAGCAAGUAAGUAGAUGCUAGUGAUGCAUCUGUAACAACAAAGAAAGAUGUGGUAGAGGGGGAAGGAGCACUGAAUUCAUGAAAACAAGUUCCUUGGAGGAUUGAUAAAGGAAGAUGAUAGUAUUUCUACUCUGUCAGGGUAAUUCAAAAGCAUAUUUUUAAAUUUGUUACUACUUCUUGAACUUUACUAUGUGCCAGAACUAGGUGAUUUAUAUACAUAGCUCAUGUAAAACUUAUCAUGAGAUGCUAAAGAGCUUCCACUUAAAGGAAUUCAAAUUCUUGCUGAUUUUUAAUGAUGACCACUUUUGUUCAUUGCUAAUCUUCCUGUCCUUCAUUUUCUUCAGCCCUUCCCACUACUGCACCCUAAUCUUUAAAAAGCAAAACAAAUAAACAAUAACAAAAGUACUGACUUCAUAUGACUGCUAAAGGAAAAGUGAUGAUAUUGAAUUUGAUCUAUCAUCUUAAUAUUACUAAUUUAUAUUACCUAUUUAAAAUGUUACAGUAGCUCCCUCUAGUUUACAAAGCACUUUAGAAUACAUUAGCUAACUCAAUCCUCAAAAACGCCUGUGAGAUAGAUUUUAUAUAUCCCAUGGAGCUGAGGCUAAGAGGAAAUUGAGCAACUUUCUCAUUUAGUUGAGUGGCAGGCCUAUGUCUAAACCCAAGACUUCUCACUCUGCAUUAAGAGCUUUUCUUUAUCCUAUUUUAGUCACAGGUAGGCUCGACUAACCCAGGAAUGUGCUAUAUCAAUGUACUUGAAAAACAGAAACACCUAACACCUAGAUCUUAGUUUCUAUCACCAUCCUCUACCAUUUUCCAUAACCAGGACUCCUUGAAGAAAUCACCGAUUAUAUAAUUGGAGCAGGGAAAAUACAAGAUUAACUUGGAGUAUCUAAUAAUACUAGAAAGUAAGGGAGUACUCAAAAAACAAAAGGAUAGGGGAGUGACAAAAGAAGACAGGACUUUGGGUCUUUGGUCUUUGGGCUUCCAAUGGCCAAAGCUGGAACAAUUUGAGCAACAAAAUGAAUAAUGCAUAUAAAAUAAAUAUCCAUGAGUGCAUAUUGAUAUAAAUAACUGAAUAAAUAAGUAUGUGAGUAAAUGGGGAAGAAGACCCAAAUCCCCCUUACAUAAGAAUAAUGGACUUAUAUGUCCCCCUUCCAGGAGAUGGAAUUUAUUUUCCCUUCCCCCUUGAGUGUAGACUAAACUUAGUAACUUGCUUCCAAGGAGUGGAGUACGGAAAGUAAAUUUAAAAUAGAGUAACCAGGCAAACACUAUCUUCGCCAGGUGACCAAGGUUAACAUCAUUAGUGAUAAGUCACCUUGACAGCAUAUUCCCUUGAUGUGAUGUGAUGAAAAUAGAAGCUUACCUCUGGUCUUUCUCUCAGAAUCCCAUAACCCCAGCCUAAUAUGAGAAAAACACCAGACAAAUUCCAUUUGAAGGAUAUUCUACAGAAUAUCUAACCAGCACUCUUCAAAACUGCCAAGGUCAUGAAAAACAAGAAAGAAAAGAAACACAGAUGUGAUGAAUGAAGAAAAAUACCAGUUGAGUCACCUAACCAGUACUGAAAAAGUUAAGUUUCAAAAUACGGAAUCACAGGAAGAUGAAAAGGUUCUGAAGCAUUUACAAUUUUAUAAGCUUUCUUCGGGGUAAAACUUAUGUUUAAAACUUGCCAUGCAGGAUGUCUUGCAGCCCCACCACAAAGAAGAUUCAGUGGAGCUGAACAAGCUCACUACCAAGCCACUGAAAAGAGGAAAGAAAGUCCAUCUGAGAUCAAAGGUCGCACUUCCCAUUUUUUUCAAGUUCUGCAAAGGUGAUCUGUUUCCCUUUAGUGCACAGGAAAUAAGUGAGAUGUUCUCUAAAAGCCUUUACCUGUUUCACCUUAUACUGUAAUCACUAAAUCCAGAAGACUAACGCAAACUCAUACUUAAAAAGAAAACAAUUAGCCUAGAGCACGUAAUAGAAAUCAGAAGCAUUUGA
Molecule: long non-coding RNA, 3864 nt
Filed under: Homo sapiens (human)
Lineage: Eukaryota; Metazoa; Chordata; Mammalia; Primates; Hominidae
Description: HSALNT0336814
Source: RNAcentral